Molecule: ribosomal RNA, 480 nt
Filed under: uncultured bacterium
Lineage: Bacteria
Description: partial 16S ribosomal RNA
Rfam family: Bacterial small subunit ribosomal RNA
Source: RNAcentral
GACGAACGCUGGCGGCGUGCUUAACACAUGCAAGUCGAACGGUAAGGCCCCUUCGGGGGUACACGAGUGGCGAACGGGUGAGGAACACGUGGGUGAUCUGCCCUGCACUUCGGGAUAAGCCUGGGAAACUGGGUCUAAUACCGGAUAGGGCCUCUGCCUGCCUGGGCGGGGGUGGAAAGCUUUUGCGGUGUGGGAUGGGGCCGCGGCCUAUCCGCUUGUUGGUGGGGUGAUGGCCUACCAAGGCGACGACGGGUAGCCGGCCUGAGAGGGUGUCCGGCCACACUGGGACUGAGAUACGGCCCAGACGCCUACGGGAGGCAGCAGUGGGGAAUAUUGCACAAUGGGCGCAAGCCUGAUGCAGCGACGCCGCGUGAGGGAUGACGGCCUUCGGGUUGUAAACCUCUUUCACCAGGGACGAAGCGCAAGUGACGGUACCUGGAGAAGAAGCACCGGCUAACUACGUGCCAGCAGCCGCAGUAA